RNAcentral lists this ribosomal RNA (435 nucleotides) under Clostridium perfringens. RNAcentral's name for it is "bacterial SSU rRNA". It matches the Rfam family "Bacterial small subunit ribosomal RNA", at positions 1 to 432 of the family's 1533-position model. The record is from RNAcentral. Lineage: Bacteria; Bacillati; Bacillota; Clostridia; Eubacteriales; Clostridiaceae.
UUAAAUUGAGAGUUUGAUCCUGGCUCAGGAUGAACGCUGGCGGCGUGCUUAACACAUGCAAGUCGAGCGAUGAAGUUUCCUUCGGGAAACAGAUUAGCGGCGGACGGGUGAGUAACACGUGGGUAACCUGCCUCAUAGAGUGGAAUAGCCUUCCGAAAGGAAGAUUAAUACCGCAUAAUGUUGAAAGAUGGCAUCAUCAUUCAACCAAAGGAGCAAUCCGCUAUGAGAUGGACCCGCGGCGCAUUAGCUAGUUGGUGGGGUAACGGCCUACCAAGGCGACGAUGCGUAGCCGACCUGAGAGGGUGAUCGGCCACAUUGGGACUGAGACACGGCCCAGACUCCUACGGGAGGCAGCAGUGGGGAAUAUUGCACAAUGGGGGAAACCCUGAUGCAGCAACGCCGCGUGAGUGAUGAAGGUUUUCGGAUCGUAAAGCU